ACCUCAUGAUUUGGGCAUUGCAUUAACUUAUCAUUAAAACAUUUCCACACCUCAUACAGUGGUUUGCCACUAAGUUGACAAAAGUUGGUGAUUUCUUCCCUUAGUU
This is a non-coding RNA of Capsicum annuum, 106 nucleotides long. NCBI's taxonomy places the organism in Eukaryota, Viridiplantae, Streptophyta, Magnoliopsida, Solanales, Solanaceae. The record is from Rfam.